GUAUUGUGUGAAACCUGAGAAGGUAAGCACUCUCUUUGAUUAAGAUAGAAAGGAAAUUAAUGGACUUGCUAACACACAGAUGAUUGUUGGUGCAAGCUGUCUUACACAAUGAUAAUUCUGU
Molecule: small nuclear RNA, 121 nt
Organism: Stegostoma tigrinum
Lineage: Eukaryota; Metazoa; Chordata; Chondrichthyes; Orectolobiformes; Stegostomatidae
Source: RefSeq, a predicted model, not a curated record